Long non-coding RNA from Stomoxys calcitrans (stable fly), 2151 nucleotides. RefSeq lists it as uncharacterized. NCBI's taxonomy places the organism in Eukaryota, Metazoa, Arthropoda, Insecta, Diptera, Muscidae. The transcript has 5 exons. The record is from RefSeq and is a predicted model, not a curated record.
AAUUCGUGAAAAUAAAAAGUGUGUCCCAAAAAAUGCAUGUGCGUGCGAUCAACAAAAAAAUCGCGAAAGUGUAGAAAAACAUGAAUAAAAAUGGCAUGAGUUAUAUGGGUGUGUAUGUAAAACAAAGAUUGCAGCAAAUCUAAAAAAACUUAUAAUUUGCCUAAAAUCUAAUGUGCGACACAAAAAGAAAUAUUGACAAAGUUCACAGAAUCGCAGAAUCGAAUUCCUAUGCCGACAAAUAAUGAAGAUUAAAAACAAAUAAGUUAAAAAUAAAAAAAAGGUUUAAUUGAUAACCUAUUGGGUUGCCCAAAAAGUAAUUGCGGAUUUUUUAAAAGAAAGUAAAUGCAUUUUUAAUAGAACUUAGAAUGAACUUUAAUCAAAUAUACUUUUUUACACUUUUAUUUCUAAAGAAAGCUAAAAGUAACAGCUGAUAACUGACAGAAGAAAGAAUGCAAUUACAGAGUCACAAGCUGUGAAAAAAUUUGUCAACGCCGGCUAUAUGAAAAAUCCGCAAUUACUUUUUGGGCAACCCAAUAUAAGUGCAGUGCCGUAAACAGCGUGGGUUUCGGAAAAAUGAUGGCGUCAGUCUAAUACACCCACAGGCGUAUAUACAAAAAACUCAACCAUAUGUCAAUGGUGCUAGUGCUUAAGAGUGUACUCGUGUAGUGUAUGGCAACGGUAUAAAACGCAAGUGUGCGUAACCCACUCAAAUGAUGAAUGGGGGUGGGGGGGAAUGUAUAACCAACAUUCCAAUAAGUGUAAUGGAGUGAACCAAGAGUGAAAUGAAAAUAAACAAAAAAAAAAAAAAAAUGGAAUGUCUGAAUUGGAACUCAAAGUGCCGAAAAAAAUGAUGAAGAAAAAAAAAAUAACAAAAGAAAGAAAAUAAGCCUAAAAAAAUCAAAUUAAAUUGAAAAUUAACCAAAAUAUUGUUGAUACCAACUAAUUAAGUGUACUAUGGUGGAGAUUAAAAAUGAUUUUGUGUCAAAGUGGAAAGUUAAUCAAAAUGAUGUGAAUGCGAUCGAAAAACGGAAGUUGCAAUAAAAAACAAGACAAAUUAGUUGUUGACUUCGUGAGUGGUGUAAACGAGUUCAAUGGCCUGAUGCGUAAAAGUGAAAAGAAAAAGUUCAAGGACCACAGUCCAAAGCCCUCAGCCAAGCUGAAAAAGGCCAUCCAGAAGCAGAGCUAAUCAGGCCAGAACCAGGGCUAAGGCUUAGCAGAUGGUGACAGUAGGUAAUGAUGGAUCCUCUGCUGAACUGUCCCUCCGUACUCCAUCUGUUUGUAAGAAUUCUUUUUAAAUUGCAGAUUUAUUUGCAAUUGUGUUAAUUUCUUUUUUGAAGGCAGCACUAUCGGCUUGCGUUAAUGGGACAAAAAAAAACCAUAAAAAAACACCAAAGCUACCUACAAUGAGCUCACCCUAGGCGCUUCGGGCACCUUUCCUACCAAAGCUGGAAAAGGAUACUGAAACAAAAGGCAGUCAGGUCUGGAGUCUGUCUGUCCAAAGUUAAAAAGGUGAUCAACCGUCCGCAUAGGGUUCUUUACAUGAGCAUGUCGGUGUGAGCAUGCCAGUUUACUGCGCCUCCCACGAUUACUGGAGCGGUGAUGGUGACUGGACGUGUUCGGUGACCGAAUGGAUGCUUGUAUAGUUGUUGAUUUUAUUCGUAUUUCGUAGAUUUAAUUAAUUCAUUAGCUUGUCGGUAGUUCACAGAUAGUUGUAAGUCUUUAGUUUUUUUUCUUCCUGCUUUUAUUAAUAUGCAAUCUUAAGCUUUUCUUUCUCUAGUUUGUAAGACUUCAGUUUAUCUUUUUUCAAUUAGUUUGUAAGCUUUCUUACUUUAGCUUGUAAGGUAUUAGGUUAUUUAUCUUUUUAUGUCCGUGUUCAAGCGAUUCAUCACACGUUAGGGUACUUUGUCGUGUACAAUAGUGGCAUUACUCACACGUCCAUUAGUGGCACAAAAUAUAAUUCAUAAAAACAAAAAAAUGGACUAAAGCCUUGUUUUUGUACUUUGUUUGUUUCACCAGGCUAUUUUUUAAUUGGUUCGGUGCGCAACUCGGUAAGGCUUUUGGAAAGUUUUGCUUAUGUAACUUAAAUCAAUGCAAAUACUACAAAACGUAAUUAUACUUACAAAUAAAAGCUGCAUUAAUUCUUUUAAACUA